Molecule: ribosomal RNA, 332 nt
Filed under: uncultured bacterium
Lineage: Bacteria
Description: bacterial SSU rRNA
Rfam family: Bacterial small subunit ribosomal RNA
Source: RNAcentral
AACGCAGGUGGUUUGGUAAGUCAGGGGUGAAAGUCCACAGCUUAACUGUGGCACUGCCUUUGAUACUACCUUUCUUGAGUGCAUGAGGGGGAAGCGGAAUUCCGAGUGUAGAGGUGAAAUUCGUAGAUAUUCGGAGGAACACCGGUGGCGAAGGCGGCUUCCUGGCAUGUAACUGACACUCAUGUUCGAAAGCGUGGGGAGCAAACAGGAUUAGAUACCCUAGUAGUCCACGCCCUAAACGAUGGGCACUAGGUGUGGGAGGUAUCGACCCCUUCCGUGCCGCAGCUAACGCAUUAAGUGCCCCGCCUGGGGAGUACGGCCGCAAGGUUGAA